Dendroctonus ponderosae (mountain pine beetle) is the source of this 490-nucleotide long non-coding RNA. RefSeq lists it as uncharacterized. The record is from RefSeq and is a predicted model, not a curated record. NCBI's taxonomy places the organism in Eukaryota, Metazoa, Arthropoda, Insecta, Coleoptera, Curculionidae. The transcript is spliced from 2 exons.
GCGGGAAAUAAACACGUUUAUUUUUGUUUGUUUGUUAAAGUGUGGUAGAUUUGUAGAUUAAUAGUAAAGCUUUGUAGUAGGUACAAGUAACGGCUAUUUGUAUAUCGGCUGACCUGAUAUUUCGGAGCUUCAAAUUCUUUAGAAUAAAAUCUAAAAAAUGUGCUUCCAAAAUGGAAAUUGUUACUAUAUUAACAAUUACAUUUUUAUAGUUUUAAGCAUGGAACUGGUUCCAAGCACUUACCCAAGAAUGGAUCUUCCAGUAGUUCCUCAGCAGUUGAUCUUUUAUCAGGAUCGGACUCAAAACAUCUCAAAAUGAACUUGGUGGCUUUAUCCGAGAGAGCAGGAAUUUCCGGAUGUGCUUUAUGGCAACCUACCUUUGAAUCGAAAUUAAUACCGUGUGAAUCUCACAUUUAUACAGUUCUGAAUCAAUUACACUAGAUAUAAGGCAGAAAAAAUAUUUAUUUACUUUAAAUAAAGCAGCUUGUGCAGA